AUCGUGAGGUAUAGGCGAGAAGAAGGGAUAGCGAAAUCGUAGCUUGACGGACAGAAAUCUGAUACAAGGCGUACAUGGCGGAUGAGCUGGCUUAGGGCAGCAAAGUCCAAAAGGCAACCGUAACCCAUGUAUGUAGAUCAGGCAAGUAGACGAGGAAAGAC
Molecule: non-coding RNA, 161 nt
Filed under: uncultured Marvinbryantia sp.
Lineage: Bacteria; Bacillati; Bacillota; Clostridia; Lachnospirales; Lachnospiraceae
Source: RNAcentral